UAAGCAUAUCAAUAAGCGGAGGAAAAGAAACUAACAAGGAUUCCCUUAGUAACUGCGAGUGAAGAGGGAAAAGCUCAAAUUUAAAAUCUGGCGGUGUUUCACUGUCCGAGUUGUAACCUAGAGAAGUGUAACCUGUACUGGACCGUGUACAAGUCUCCUGGAAUGGAGCAUCACAGAGGGUGAGAAUCCCGUCUUUGACAUGGACUACCAGUGCAUUGUGGUUGUGCUCUCAACGAGUCGAGUUGUUUGGGAAUGCAGCUCUAAAUGGGUGGUAAAUUCCAUCUAAAGCUAAAUAUUGGCGAGAGACCGAUAGCGAACAAGUACCGUGAGGGAAAGAUGAAAAGAACUUUGGAAAGAGAGUUAAACAGUAUGUGAAAUUGUUGAAAGGGAAACGUUUGAAGUCAGUUGCAUUGGCUGGGGAUCAACCUUACAUUUCUGUUGGGUGUACUUCCUGGUUGAUGGGCCAACAUCAGUUUUGACUGCCAGAAAAAGGCCAAGUGAAUGUGGCACCUUUGGGUGUGUUAUAGCUCUUGGUUGUAUAUGGUGGUUGGGACUGAGGAAUGCAGUGUGCCGAAAGGCCGGGUUUUGACCACGUUCACACUGAGGAUGUUGGCAUAAUGGCUUUAAGCGACCCGU
RNAcentral lists this ribosomal RNA (636 nucleotides) under Amanita silvicola. Its description in RNAcentral is "eukaryotic LSU rRNA". It matches the Rfam family "Eukaryotic large subunit ribosomal RNA", at positions 35 to 652 of the family's 3401-position model. Lineage: Eukaryota; Fungi; Basidiomycota; Agaricomycetes; Agaricales; Amanitaceae. The record is from RNAcentral.